GAUGAACGCUGGCGGCGUGCCUAAUACAUGCAAGUCGAGCGAACAGACGAGGAGCUUGCUCCUCUGACGUUAGCGGCGGACGGGUGAGUAACACGUGGAUAACCUACCUAUAAGACUGGGAUAACUUCGGGAAACCGGAGCUAAUACCGGAUAAUAUAUUGAACCGCAUGGUUCAAUAGUGAAAGGCGGUUUUGUUGUCACUUAUAGAUGGAUCCGCGCCGCAUUAGCUAGUUGGUAAGGUAACGGCUUACCAAGGCAACGAUGCGUAGCCGACCUGAGAGGGUGAUCGGCCACACUGGAACUGAGACACGGUCCAGACUCCUACGGGAGGCAGCAGUAGGGAAUCUUCCGCAAUGGGCGAAAGCCCGACGGAGCAACGCCGCGUGAGUGAUGAAGGUCUUCGGAUCGUAAAACUCUGUUAUUAGGGAAGAACAAAUGUGUAAGUAACUAUGCACGUCUUGACGGUACCUAAUCAGAAAGCCACGGCUAACUACGUG
Molecule: ribosomal RNA, 497 nt
Filed under: uncultured bacterium
Lineage: Bacteria
Description: partial 16S ribosomal RNA
Rfam family: Bacterial small subunit ribosomal RNA
Source: RNAcentral